Long non-coding RNA from Dioscorea cayenensis subsp. rotundata (Guinea yam), 1260 nucleotides. RefSeq lists it as uncharacterized. Lineage: Eukaryota; Viridiplantae; Streptophyta; Magnoliopsida; Dioscoreales; Dioscoreaceae. The transcript has 4 exons. The record is from RefSeq and is a predicted model, not a curated record.
AUUGAUACAAAUUGAAGUUCGGUGAUCAAAGUGAAAAUGAGCCAAAGUUUAGUGACUUGCUAAAAAAUUUACCCUAAACCCUUUGCCUUCCCCCUCUAUUCUCACCGCUCAUCAACCCUUCUCAUCUCUCUCUCUCUCUCUCGAUUGAUUUCUAGGGUUUCUCCAUACUGUUCUUGAGAGAUAUCCCUCGAUGGAAGCUUCUCCUGCGACUUUGCUCUCCGCCGCCUCUUUGCCAGCUGCCCCACCCUCUGCUCCGACCCCAGACUCCGGCAAACCCUAAUCGGUGCUGUUCCCUAUGGCUUUAACACGGGUGGUGGUGGCUUCUUCCUUCUCGGCGGCAAGCUCUGAUCUCAUGGUGAAGGGUGUUGGAUCCAUUGCCGUGGAUGAGCUUCUCCGAAACAGUAGAGGAGAUGUGGAGGGAGAUGUCUGGUGGACGGAGGGGAGAGGAUGCAUGGGGAAAUUACGCUGGAGGAUUUUUUGGCGCGGGUUGGAGCGGUGAGGGACGAGGACGUUAGGGCGGUGGCGGGAUCGGUGUUUGGGGUGGAUCCGGUGGGUUUGGGGAUUAAGAAUCAGGUGUUAGGGUUUGGAAAUGGGGUGGAGGAUGGUGGAGAUUUGGGAAGUGGUGGGAGGGGGAGGAAAAGGCCGGUAAACAGUAAGUAUUUGACAUAGUUCUUAAUAUUCCUGCAAAUGGAUUGGGAACAAAAAUCAAUGAGGAUGGGAUUGCCUACUACAACAAUCUCAUUAAUUUCAUGGUAUUCAGCCUUGUGUGACGCUAUAUCAUUGGGAUCUUCCACAAAAUCUUCAUUAGUUGUGUGUAUUAAAUAUUAGAAAAUGUUGUCCCAAAUAACAUUAUUUUAUCACCUUUGCUGGUUAGGCUAUUUAGGAAAACAAUAACGAGCUGGGGAUGGUUCAGCAGCUGAAAGAUGAAAUUCGGAUACUUUCUGGACAACUGGUGAAUCUUCAAUUCACUAACAAAGACCCAAUAUCAAAUUUUGACAGAUCAAAGGUAAAGGGGGUGGUUGCAAAGCUGAUUAAAGUGAAUUGCAGUUCUGUAAUGACUGCCUUGGAGACUCAGAAAACACUGGGAAGCAGCUUCUCCAAAAUGGUGAUCUACGACGCUGAGUCACAAUUAUACCAUUGAACAAAAUUCAACCUUAUACUGUUCCGUUGAGUGUCCAGCAAGCUGCUGCUGGAGUGGUUGCUGAAGGAAAUGCAUAAUUGGCCCUUUUAUCGAAGGGGGUAUGAGGAUGAAGUGAAGGC